GAUGAACGCUGGCGGCGUGCCUAACACAUGCAAGUCGAGCGAACGGACGAGAAGCUUGUUUCUUUGAUGUUAGCGGCGGACGGGUGAGUAACACGUGGAUAACCUACCUAUAUGACUGGGAUAAUCUCGGGAAACCGUAGCUUAUACCGGAUAAUAUUUUGCACCGCAUGGUUCAAAAGUGAAAGACGGCCUUGCGGUCUCUAAUAGAUGGAUCCGGGCUGCAUGAGCUAGUUGGUAAGGUACCGGCCUACCAAGGCAACGAUGCAUAGCCGACCUGAGAGGGUGAUCGGCCACACUGGAGCUGAGACGCGGUCCAGACUCCUACGAGAGGCAGCAGUAGGGAAUCUUCCGCAAUGGGCGGAAGCAUGACGCAGCAACGCCGCGUGAGUGAUGAAGGUCUUCGGAGCGUAAAGCUCUGUUAUUAGGGAAGAACAUAUGUGUAAGUAACUGUGCACAUCUUGACGGUACCUAAUCAAAAAGCAACGGCUAACUACGUG
RNAcentral lists this ribosomal RNA (497 nucleotides) under uncultured bacterium. RNAcentral describes it as "partial 16S ribosomal RNA". It matches the Rfam family "Bacterial small subunit ribosomal RNA", at positions 28 to 507 of the family's 1533-position model. The record is from RNAcentral.